UAGGGAAUCUUCGGCAAUGGGGGGAACCCUGACCGAGCAACGCCGCGUGAGUGAAGAAGGUUUUCGGAUCGUAAAGCUCUGUUGUUAAGGAAGAACGAGUGUGAGAAUGGAAAGUUCAUGCUGUGACGGUACUUAACCAGAAAGGGACGGCUAACUACGUGCCAGCAGCCGCGGUAAUACGUAGGUCCCGAGCGUUGUCCGGAUUAAUUGGGCGUAAAGCGAGCGCAGGCGGUUAGAAAAGUCUGAAGUGAAAGGCAGUGGCUCAACCCUUGUAGGCUUUGGAAACUGUAUAACUUGAGUGCAGAAAGGGAGAGUGGAAUUCCAUGUGUAGCGGUGAAAUGCGUAGAUAUAUGGAGGAGCACCGGUAGCGAAAGCGGCUCUCUGGUAUGUAAAUGACGCUGAAGCUCGAAAGCGUGGGGAGCGAACAGG
This 429-nucleotide ribosomal RNA is filed under the name Verrucomicrobiota bacterium. Its description in RNAcentral is "Verrucomicrobia bacterium partial 16S ribosomal RNA". It matches the Rfam family "Bacterial small subunit ribosomal RNA", at positions 355 to 776 of the family's 1533-position model. The record is from RNAcentral. Lineage: Bacteria; Pseudomonadati; Verrucomicrobiota.